Molecule: long non-coding RNA, 1921 nt
Organism: Brassica napus (rape)
Lineage: Eukaryota; Viridiplantae; Streptophyta; Magnoliopsida; Brassicales; Brassicaceae
Exons: 3
Source: RefSeq, a predicted model, not a curated record
CAAGUGUUUUAACACGUCAUACAACUACAGAGAGAAUCAUAAUAUACGACGCAUCAAUCGGGUUCCACUUCGUCUUCACCAUCUAGGUUCUUCGUGAUGUCCGUUACGGUGAGCUCAAUCAAUGGUGCUCUUUGAUUCCUUCUUUAUAGUUUCGUUCCACCUCCCUCUUUUUAUCCUCAUAUAUAUCGAUUGCUCAACAUCUUCGUCUAAACUUACUUGCAAGCAAACCCGAAAACCUCCAGUGAAGAAUCGAAAGCUCUGGCAAUAAAAUCCAAUCGAAAGUCUCAUCUCUCCACCGGCAAGUCUCUGUCGCUUUGUAUUUCAAGGAUAUCUCACCAUGUCCACCAGAAUACGAAUUAGGAUUUCGAAUCUAAAGUUAAGGCGAUGAUCAAUUUCUUUUUUUUCUUCAAUGGUGUUGAUAACCCAAUCAAAGGGCGUCGCCUUUUAGUUUUGAUGUUGAUUCAUUUGAUCCAGUCUUACAGGUUCUUACAAUUUUUUGUUUUGUUUCGAUUAGGUUGAAGUGCGGUAGCGAUUGCUGUAAGGUGUGAAGAUAAGAUGGCUCUCUGAAUGAAAACAUGAAGAAGUGUCAGUAUGCCGUAAGUGGUAAGCUCCAGAAAGAAGGCAAAAAGGUAUACACUUUUGGAUCAUCUUGUGCCUUUACAUGUUGGCUUUACUCAAGAAAAAGAGACUGUAAGUAUUGUAUAUAUAAAAUAACUUACGAACUUUGAACGUAUUGAACUUAGAAUAAAUACUUUCGCCUCUUAAGUUUUGAAUAAAUACUGGUUCUGAAAAGGAUUAAGAUUUGUCUAUCAACUGCAUCAGAUUUUGUACCCUUUUUACUUUUCUAAAAGCUAAGCCCAGCUCAGAAGGAUGGAAUCAUCGAGUGGAGGAAGAUGAGUGUCUUUCAGAGAAUCAGUGGGGGUUCGUGGGCUGUUCCAAGUUUCCAAAUAGUAAGCUGUAAGCAUAAACUCUUAAACUGCAAAGCGCUUUGGAUGGGGAAGGCCAGCUUUACGUACCGCUUCUGAUAUCGCCAGGUUCUCUACGUACAAAGGAUUCAGGAGAGAUUGGUAGAAUACCUACUUAGUGGGCUCGGUGUCUUCUACCGCAUGUGAGAGACAAGAAGGUUAGGCUAGAAGGGAGAUGCAAGUCGACGCCUGAAGCAUUAGGCAUUACAUAAUGAUUCUUCUUUCAGUAAGUGUGUACAUUAAUAGUUCCAUGUUUCAAAAGCAUAGUAUGACUUCACUUAGGGUAGCCAGUACUCCGGCGGAUGAAUAAAUGUUUUAUCCUCUCCCACACUCCUUGCGGUUGCUCGGUUUGACACCCUUUAAACAGGUAAUGGAUUGUCCAUUACUGUAACUCUAAGAUUUUCUGAAUGUUUGACAGGUUGCAGUUUGCAAUUCCUAUAUACUUACAUAUUUUGUUGUGAUUGCAAAUUUUUGAGAUGGUGAAUUAGAAUUAUUACAGUUCAAAAGGAUCCACUUAUUUAACAAGAAACAUGAGAAGGUCGGCCAUAGUCCGUAGAAUAAAAGAUAAGUUACAAAAUACAUUUGACUUAUAAGAAUAGAGAAACAUGACAUGUCAUGUAAUUCAACUGACGUACUCUUUAGACCUGAAUAUGUUCAAUAAAUAUUACAAGGAUGUUGUAUAGCUUGGGAGGAAGAGGAGAGAAACAUGAUGUCUUCUGCUGGCUAAGAUUAUGAACAUUGAUAAUCUUUAUUAGAUGCUUAUUUCUUGGAAAAUGUUUUAAAAGAUGUUUUAAUAUAGGUAAAUACUUAUUGCUGGAUCAUGUUUAGAAGUAUAUAUAAGUCUUCCGAGAGAAAAUUACAUUUACAAUUUCACUGUUGUUUUACUGUCAUGAGAUAACUUUUAUGACAAUUGUAUGCAUAUAAUUAAAAUCGCACAACUUCUUUAUGUUUUCCAA